CCUACGGGAGGCAGCAGUGGGGAAUAUUGGGCAAUGGGCGCAAGCCUGACCCAGCAAAGCCGCGUGAGGGAAGAAGGCUUUCGGGUUUUAAACUUCUUUUAAGCGGGAAGAGCAGAAGACGGUACCUCUUGAAUAAGCCACGGCUAACUACGUGCCAGCAGCCGCGGUAAUACGUAGGUGGCAAGCUUUGUCCGGAUUUACUGGUGGUAAAGGGCUUGCAGCCGGGAAGACAAGUCAGAUGUGAAAUCCCGGGGCUCAACCGCGGCACUGCAUGUGAAACUGGUUUUCUUGAGUACCGGAGAGGUCAUCGGAAUGCGUUGUGUAGCGGUGAAAUGCGUAGAUAUAAGGAAGAACACCAGUGGCGAAGGCGGAUGACUGGACGGCAACUGACGGUGAGGCGCGAAAGCGUGGGGAGCAAACAGGAUUAGAUACCCGGGUAGUC
Molecule: ribosomal RNA, 442 nt
Filed under: uncultured bacterium
Lineage: Bacteria
Description: partial 16S ribosomal RNA
Rfam family: Bacterial small subunit ribosomal RNA
Source: RNAcentral